AAUGCCAAAAUCAGAAUUAAAAAUUGAUAAAAUAUAAAUCGUUUGGAGGCCUAAGUUUGCCAAACAGUGCUCCGGAGUAUUGGAAAUGCUCUGCGUGAGCUCGAGUUCAAAACGGUUAAAAAAAUAUACUUGUACAAAUGUUAAUUAAAUAAUUUUUGAAUGCAUUAUUUGCAACUCUGGUCGGGAAUAAGUAAAGUGGAAGAGAAAAUUGUGAUUGACACUUGAUAUUUGGAAAUGAAGCACCAAACCCAGAAUUAUCGCCUGUUUCUAGGCAGCGCAGUAAAUUGUUACAGGAAGUACUUGUACUCGUAUAUUUUCUUAUGGACGAAAAGUUUUUCGGUAAAUUUAAAUAAAUUGGCAACUUACGUGGCGAGUUCCUCAAUGCCUAGGGAGUGGAGCACCGUCGGUAAACUUGGUAAGGAGUGGCAUGUAGUAAGUUCCUUUUGGCGCGGGUAAUAUAGUGUCAGUACCGUACAACUCUCCUCUUUCAUAGUCAGGCCACCUGCAACGAUAGACGAUAAAACAAAAGGUACACAUAUGUUAGUUAGUUACACAAGAGUCACGAGAUCUUGUAUAUAAAUUGAAUAUUCUGCUCAUACCAUUUGUAUGUGUGGUAUAAAAGGAUGAAACGGAAAACACGUCAAUGAAAGCGGUGCUUUCGAAGCGCUUGAACAAAGCAAUAUGGAAAGGGUUGCGUGCCUAUGGAAGUGUUGUAGGCAGUUUAUUGCUGUGUGCAGCCAUAGAGCCGAUACAUACACACCUGUAAUACGAUUCUUCUGUAAUGGCUACUUACCAAGGGUAAUUGCUUUUCGUGUGGAGCUGUCGUAAAUACACUCAGC
Molecule: long non-coding RNA, 839 nt
Organism: Bactrocera neohumeralis
Lineage: Eukaryota; Metazoa; Arthropoda; Insecta; Diptera; Tephritidae
Exons: 4
Source: RefSeq, a predicted model, not a curated record